AUGUUGUCUCCAACCCUCUGCACAACCUCGUCGUCGAGUGGUCUAUCAUUCAUCCUUUCUGUGCGGGAGUGGUUCGCUUCGCGGAUGUUCUUGUUCGGGAUCAGGUGGUUUCUAGGUCAGGCUUUUUUCAUCUUGCUGGAGAUCGUGUUCUGUACUUCACUCGUCAGUCUGAAGGUCGUAAUGCUAGACGUACUGAAGGUCUAAGGGUUUUCUAUGUCAUGUUCUUGGGAUGGCCGAUUGAUUACUGUAAUGAGCGUCUCUUCCGUCAGGCUAUGCUUCGUUUUGGUUUUCCCCUCAAUUGGGUUAAUCCCCACAUGAAGGAGGCUUAUAUCCUGAUUAGGUGUUUGGUUAAGGAGCAUUUGAAAGUCCGGGCAGCACCAUUCUUGAGCACAUCUGCCACUAUGGUGGAGUGGGGCAUUCCUGGACUAAGCUCACUAUGCUGUUGGAUAGAGACCUGGAUGGAGUUCUGCCAUUGGAAGAGGAUUUCCCGGAGGCCACCAGAAACCGCCAUGCUCUGUUGCCGCCACCUGAACCUGAAGAUGGCUGGGAACUUUGGGGGCACAAUGAGGAUGCUGCGGAUGCCAAGCCGGCGGCCAAUGGUUUGCCACAGGAUGAGCAGGAUGUGCCGAUGCCUAACUUCCCGGCUGAACCCAGAGACCAUCGUGCUCCCCAGCGUCCUCUUGGUCUGCUGCUUGAUCAUGCUCCGAUUGCUUCUGACAGCCUGAAUUCCAGCAGUGAUGAGGCUAUUGUGCUGCGUUUGGGUCCUGAUCACUCUGCCCCUGGUCGUCGUGCUCUCCCUGGCCUCACCAUCAGAAGCCCGCUGCGGGAUCCUUCGACAGUUCUUGUUCAGAGUCAUGCUGUGGAUCCCGAGCUUCAGCUAUUUGCGCAAGAUUUGGGGAUUGCUUCUGCUUUUGAUCGUGACCUUCAGAUUGUUCUCCUGGACCAACACGAGCAUGCUCUUGAUCUGAAGGCAGAGGGUUUUGAUCCAUCUGAUCCCAAAGGAAAGAAGGCUGCGGAUGGUCCUUGUCGUUCUGUUAUUCUUCCUGGCACCAGCAAGUGUUCUGCGCCUGCUCCUGUGAUUGACUUGGGCGGCCGACAUGCGCCUGCAAUUUCUACCUUGCCCAACAGCCCUGUCAAGGAUCCUUUCACAGUGCCUGCUAGCUCUUCAGCGAUUUGGCCAUCUCCCAUGUUCCACAUCCCCGGGCUGACACCUCAGACUUCUGCCCCUGUGGUUCCCCUGCCUGAAUCUGGUUUGCCGGUGAUGAUCAAUUCUGCUGAGCCUGUUGCUGACCUUUCUUCCCAACUACUUAGUCAGAAUCAGUUGAAUGCGCUUCAGGAUAUUGCUCCCACCUCUGCUAAGAAGAAAUGGCUUAUUCAGUACCUGGCUGAUCUGGUUAACAAGGAGGCCUCUGAAUCCGGCGCCAAAGAGGACUCUCAUUCUGCUUUCUCCCCCAUUCGCAAGCUGGAUACUCUUCUGAUUAGUGAUCUGGCUCCGGCCUCGUCCCAUACCAGCUCUGCCCUCAGACCAAGAAGUGCGAGAAGCUUUGGGAAGGUUUACAAGAGAAGAAACAAAGGGCGUUGCUCUUCUGCCACUAGUGGUGUUGUUCAUUCCCGCCACUUGGUUUUUCAAGCUUUGGGCCUCAAUUCGCCAGUGUCCUCUGGGCCGGCCCAUUUUGGCCCUGCUCGCCUGCGCCAUGGGCCGGUUUUUGAAAGGGACUCAGUGCUCUUCACCAAGGCUUCAAGAAGGACUUUGCUGCCAUGCAUUGUGGCUCCACUAGUCAGCAGCCUCGAGGCUCCAAAUCCAGCUCUCGUUCAGCGUCUAGCAGUGCUUCUCGUUGCUCCAUCAACCAAGCCCUUCCGGCUGAUCUGCAGCAGCAUCUUCAGCCUACUGAUGAGGUCCCGGUGCCGGGGCCUAUUCCCAUGCAGGUUCUGCAGUCAACUGGGAUGUCCUAUGGUUUCGCCCCUUCAGAGCUGGAGGCCGACAAGCUGAACAACCUUGACGUGCCCGAUGUUAUCACACCUGAUGCUUAGAGGGAGCUGGGGACCCUUAACCACUUGGAGGAGGCUUUUGGCGCGCUUUAUUUGUCUGAUCGCUUGCUCUUGCUGCGCUGUUUUUGUGUUGAAACUACUGUUUAUUCCGAUCAAGGUUGUGCAUUGGUCGUGGCUGCUUCGUUGUUCUUUUCGUUGUAAUGAAUAGUACAACCUCUUCUUCUAGGUCGUGGAAUGUCCUGUGUUGGAACGCUCGUGGCAUUAACGCGUCUGGUAAACAUGAUGCGAUUUGUGCUCGUAUUUUGGAAGGAGACUGCUCUAUUGUCUGCCUUCGGGAAACCAAAAGGGUUGACUUUGAUUUAGCUUUUGUUAAGAAGUUCGCCCCUCGCAGGCUUGAUCACUUUGCUUUUGUGCCAGCUUCCGAGACUGUGGGCAACUCUGGGCGCUUGAUCACUGUCUAGGAUGGCGCUCUUUUUAGUGGAACUGUCACUGAUUCGCUCCCCUUUGCCCUCCAUGUGAUGCUCAAGUCUCACCUGUCGGCCGACUGCUUUCAUAUCGUCAAUGUUUAUGGUCCUUGCUCGGUUGAAGCUAGAUCGGAUUUCUUGGACUGGCUGUGCUCUCUAGAUAUUGGUGACGAGGAGGAUUGGCUCUUCCUUGGUGACUUCAAGCUGUAUCAUUCGCUGGAGAACCGCAACCGUCCGGAUGGUAACAUUUCUUUCUGGAAGCUGAUAUAAAGGGGCCUGGGCUAAAACUUCAUCACACAGGCAAAGCUAUCCUUACCGUCCUUCGCCAUCUUGGUCGCAUCCAUGAGACUCGUAUUGGGCAUCACCGGGUCUUCAUACUGUCAAAACAAUGCUGAAUCAAGCGGGGUGCUAUGAUCAUGAAGAGUAUGUCGCCAGAGCCACACAUUCCUGCAGCCUGUUUGCUACGAUGUAGUUUGCAAUCAUAGUAGAUGAAUGUAACUUCCAAUGCAUAGUCUUGUGUUGGUCAUUGCAUGUCUCCACUACCCAGUAAGACUUGUGCAGUUCGUUUUUUCUCCGUAGUGCAAAACGAGCUUUGCAUGUUUCGCUGAUGAUGUCACCGAGUCUCCCUGCUUACUAGUGAUAAUUAUUGAAAAGUCAGAAUUUCCAUGCUA
Brachypodium distachyon (stiff brome) is the source of this 3124-nucleotide RNA transcript. RefSeq lists it as uncharacterized. NCBI's taxonomy places the organism in Eukaryota, Viridiplantae, Streptophyta, Magnoliopsida, Poales, Poaceae. The record is from RefSeq and is a predicted model, not a curated record. The transcript has 2 exons.